This 73-nucleotide transfer RNA is filed under the name Blautia sp. OM05-6. RNAcentral's name for it is "tRNA-Val". It matches the Rfam family "tRNA". From Rfam's summary of the family: Transfer RNA (tRNA) molecules are approximately 80 nucleotides in length. Their secondary structure includes four short double-helical elements and three loops (D, anti-codon, and T loops). Lineage: Bacteria; Bacillati; Bacillota; Clostridia; Lachnospirales; Lachnospiraceae. The record is from RNAcentral.
GGGAUCUUAGCUCAGCUGGGAGAGCAUCUGCCUUACAAGCAGAGGGUCAUAGGUUCGAGACCUAUAGGUCCCA